This is a non-coding RNA of Pelobates cultripes (western spadefoot toad), 262 nucleotides long. Lineage: Eukaryota; Metazoa; Chordata; Amphibia; Anura; Pelobatidae. The record is from the annotation of a GenBank genome assembly.
CUUGUACAUAGUAGAUUGUUCAUUGUUUUUACUGUACCCAACACAUUAUGCUCCGAGAGUCUCACUGACCAACGCAGACAUAAGCUGCAGAGUAAUGAAAGGGUUUAUUGUAUGUGGAUAUUGUGCACCUUAUUUCCAUCUGCAACUCGAUUUAGCUGCUACAUGUGAAACAAUCCUCCCUUGCAUUUAUAAACUGGAAAUUUCAAGCAUUUAAAAUCCAUCUACAGAAACCGGCUGAGCUGGAGAUGUUCAUUAGGAAAGC